Molecule: ribosomal RNA, 430 nt
Filed under: Acidobacteriota bacterium
Lineage: Bacteria; Pseudomonadati; Acidobacteriota
Description: Acidobacteria bacterium partial 16S ribosomal RNA
Rfam family: Bacterial small subunit ribosomal RNA
Source: RNAcentral
UGGGGAAUAUUGGACAAUGGGCGGAAGCCUGAUCCAGCCAUGCCGCGUGUGUGAAGAAGGCCUUUUGGUUGUAAAGCACUUUAAGCGAGGAGGAUGCUACUUGGAUUAAUACUCUAGGAUAGUGGACGUUACUCGCAGAAUAAGCACCGGCUAACUCUGUGCCAGCAGCCGCGGUAAUACAGAGGGUGCGAGCGUUAAUCGGAUUUACUGGGCGUAAAGCGUGCGUAGGCGGCUUCUUAAGUCGGAUGUGAAAUCCCUGAGCUUAACUUAGGAAUUGCAUUCGAUACUGGGAAGCUAGAGUAUGGGAGAGGAUGGUAGAAUUCCAGGUGUGGCGGUGAAAUGCGUAGAGAUCUGGAGGAAUACCGAUGGCGAAGGCAGCCAUCUGGCCUAAUACUGACGCUGAGGUACGAAAGCAUGGGGAGCAAACAGG